This 22-nucleotide microRNA is filed under the name Anolis carolinensis (green anole). RNAcentral describes it as "aca-miR-460b-5p". Its record names the gene aca-miR-460b-5p. Lineage: Eukaryota; Metazoa; Chordata; Lepidosauria; Squamata; Anolidae. RNAcentral also lists the same sequence under 2 other names. The record is from miRBase by way of RNAcentral.
CCCUCAUUGUACAUGCUGUGUG